UACGUAGGGUGCAAGCGUUGUCCGGAAUUAUUGGGCGUAAAGAGCUCGUAGGCGGUCUGUCGCGUCGGCUGUGAAAUCCCGAGGCUCAACCUCGGGUCUGCAGUCGAUACGGGCAAACUAGAGUAUUGCAGGGGAGACUGGAAUUCCUGGUGUAGCGGUGGAAUGCGCAGAUAUCAGGAGGAACACCCAUAGCGAAGGCAGCUUGCUGGGACGUUACUGACGCUAAGGCGCGAAAGCGUGGGGAGCGAACAGG
This 253-nucleotide ribosomal RNA is filed under the name uncultured bacterium. RNAcentral describes it as "partial 16S ribosomal RNA". It matches the Rfam family "Bacterial small subunit ribosomal RNA", at positions 524 to 776 of the family's 1533-position model. The record is from RNAcentral.